AAACAGCAUCCGGAUUAGAGAAACUACCAAUGUCGGUGGAGUUACGUCUCUCUUCUUCCCCAUUCUUUAAAUGUCCUCGUGUACAUCCAUGUGAAUGUGGGUGUAUUCACGAGGACCCCCUUUCUCCUAUUCCGACUGGUGGAUUCUACUAGUCUGCGGAUGGAUGGAGCCCAGACUUGUGGUUUGGAUACCUGGCCGUAUUUCCCAGGCUUAAAGGCGUGGGGCUGAUGCUCGGGUCCCGGAUCGAUAAAGACCGGCGUGAAAGAGCAACAGGGAGAGCGACCCCCCAUCGCCACCCAUCAAACAAGAAAAGGAGAGAAAAACCUACUUGCUGCUAAUCUACGCGCCCGUCGUCCCAACUUAGAUGUGUUUCUUUUCUUCUCCGACAUGUCCUAAAGCGGGGCGGCGAGGGUCCGCUUGUGUGUGUGUUGUUUUUUGAUCCGCAGCAGCAGCCAAACGGAUGGAUGGAUGGCGAACGUGAUGGCACGAUCGCCUCAUCAACAGUAUCCCGGCAAGUUUGGCAUUUUAUUUUUUCCUUCCUUCUUUCUUUCUUCUUAGUCGUCGUCGUGUGUGUUUAUGUACACAAGUUCGGCAACUAGCUAACGUGGCGUGUAUUGCUAAUAUAAAAAGCGAAACGAGCCAGCGAGCUCGCUUGUUAUUCUGUGUACGCAUU
Long non-coding RNA from Daphnia pulex (common water flea), 673 nucleotides. RefSeq lists it as uncharacterized. The transcript is spliced from 3 exons. NCBI's taxonomy places the organism in Eukaryota, Metazoa, Arthropoda, Branchiopoda, Diplostraca, Daphniidae. The record is from RefSeq and is a predicted model, not a curated record.